This 1372-nucleotide long non-coding RNA is filed under the name Fukomys damarensis (Damara mole-rat). RNAcentral's name for it is "lncRNA (ENSFDAG00000027115.1)". The record is from RNAcentral. Lineage: Eukaryota; Metazoa; Chordata; Mammalia; Rodentia; Bathyergidae.
AUUAAAAGGUAUUUGACUAAUUUGAUUUUGUCCUUGAUAACUGAGAGGCAACCAAAUGCCUGUUCUAUGUAUUUAUUAAAGUAACAGUACACUUAAAACAUGAUGUAGGUAUCGUGGGUUUAUGUACAUAAGUCAGAAAAUUUGAAGCCUUGGUGGGGUUUUCAGAUAUUGAAUUUUAGUCAGCAUCCCCUUUAAAAAGAAUGUGCUUUGUUUUCUAACAAAAUUAAAUGUUUUAAUUGUAAUAGUUUUGGUUUCUAGUUAAUAUUUAUGAAGGAUCUUUCUGCAUUUUUGUUUUGUGUAAGUUUCCUUUUAUAUUUUAAUGUACUUCCUUAGACUUUACUUGUAUUUUCCUCGUCCCCUUGCACUUUAGUCAUUGUAGACAUUUAUCAGAUCUUUACUGAGUACCAUGGACUGCUUCUAACUAUACAAAUGCCUUAAAUGUCACCACUUUGUUGCAUAAGAAAAGCCUAGUGCUGGCGUUUACCUGAAUGAAAGGCACAGUUAGUCAAAGUUAAUCAUACUCUAAGAAUGAGGCCAUUAUAUUUUAACAAGAGUUUUUAAAUUAAACUACUAAUAGGUGGCUGAAGCGGUCUAAAACAAACUUUGAGGAAAAUUACAUCUUGUUUGAGCUUAUCUGCUUAACUUUGACCUUCUGGUGGACAGGGAGUUGCACCAUCAUAGAUGUGAAGGAGGAUCCAGAUUCUAGAAAAUGUGAAUGAGAACAUUCAGGUAUAGCGACUACAAAUAAAGAUAAGCAAAUUACUGGUGGGUCGACUGAAGCGGUGGGAGUAGAUUAAAUCACCCAGAAGAAACUGCUGAUAGAGCAGGCUCAGUACUCUGAGAGGUGAUCACUUGUUAGGAAAUGUCACUUUAACUUCAUAGGAUUACUGAAACUGUAUCUUUGAGUGUCAUUCUUAUAAAAAACAUUAUAUAAAGCACUUAUAGUUAUACUCACGUGUGAUUAAACUGGAUUGUUGAUGAGUAUGAUAGACAUUUUAGGUUGGAUUAUUUAAAAAGCUUUAAAAAUAGCAUCAGACUGGCAUUGAACAUGUCUUUGGGCCUGUUACCAGUAGUUACAGUGUGCAGUGCUACAAGAACAUAAGUGUGUCUUGCAGGAAGUUAAGGCUUUGAUUUCAUAACAGUUCUGACUUAUAGGCUGGGACAAGAUUUUAGAGGUUAAGGUUUAAAAAAAUAAUAAGUUGUUUCUUUGCUUCAUUAACAUCUUACAGUCUAUUUCAGGAGAUUUCUGACCCACCUGAGCUCCCAAAUCCAAUCUUAUAGGCAUGUUAAUUAAUAUUUAAAAUGCAGCCUUUUAUUUAAAUAAUGGUUGUCAGUAUAUUUUGGUGUAAAGACAAUAUAAAAGUUAAAACAC